RNAcentral lists this ribosomal RNA (752 nucleotides) under uncultured bacterium. Its description in RNAcentral is "bacterial SSU rRNA". It matches the Rfam family "Bacterial small subunit ribosomal RNA", at positions 8 to 796 of the family's 1533-position model. The record is from RNAcentral.
AGAGUUUGAUCAUGGCUCAGAACGAACGCUGGCGGCAUGCCUAACACAUGCAAGUCGAACGUGAUCCAUUCCUUCGGGAAUGGUGAAAGUGGCAGACGGGUGAGUAACGCGUGGGAACCUGCCCAAUGGUAGGGAAUAACCGCGGGAAACUGCGGCUAAUACCCUAUGACCCCUGCGGGGGAAAGAUUUAUCGCCAUUGGAGGGGCCCGCGUCGGAUUAGGUAGUUGGUAGGGUAACGGCCUACCAAGCCUUCGAUCCGUAGCUGGUCUGAGAGGAUGAUCAGCCACACUGGGACUGAGAUACGGCCCAGACUCCUACGGGAGGCAGCAGUGGGGAAUAUUGGACAAUGGGGGCAACCCUGAUCCAGCAAUGCCGCGUGAGUGAUGAAGGCCUUCGGGUUGUAAAGCUCUUUCGGCGGGGAAGAUGAUGACGGUACCCGCAGAAGAAGCCCCGGCUAACUUCGUGCCAGCAGCCGCGGUAAUACGAAGGGGGCUAGCGUUGUUCGGAAUUACUGGGCGUAAAGGGCGCGUAGGCUGUGCUGUAAGUCAGGCGUGAAAUCCCCGGGCUCAACCUGGGAAUUGCGCAUGAUACUGCGGCGCUUGAAGACGGGAGAGGAUGGCGGAAUUCCCAGUGUAGAGGUGAAAUUCGUAGAUAUUGGGAAGAACACCGGGCGAAGGCGGCCAUCUGGCCCGUAAUUGACGCUGAGGCGCGAAAGCGUGGGGAGCAAACAGGAUUAGAUACCCUAGUAGUCC